AAAAAAAAACAAUAGACUCAUAUCCAAAAUUGGAUUUUUAGACAUUAGUUUGGAUCUCAUACGUGUCGCUAUAUUACUGGUGGAUAUAUUUGUAGAAGAGGGAAAUUUUUUUGACUCCGUGUUUUUUUUUUAAUCUCUCUCUCUCUCCCUCUAUCUCUCUCUCUCAUGCACGGCAAUUGAGCUCUGUCAGACGAAAUCCGAAGCAAACGGAGGAGAAGAUUGAGCUCGGACUCCUCGAUGCGGCGUGAACAUCAUCUCCACUGACGCUGGUCACGAUUGGCGAGUUGGGUUCAGCAAUUUGGAGGUACUAGGUUAAGCAAAUCCGCGACUUUCAAUGAAGCAAUCAGAGUAUUUUCUUCAAUAAAUCGGCGUUUUUCCUUCACCAAUCUCUUUCUGAGGUUUGAUUGGAGGCCCAUCGAAGUUUGCUCUGCUCAUAUAAUGGAACAUGAAUCUUGUAACACAAACAACUUAUACACAUUUUUUCAAAAUUUGAAAUUUUUAGAUCCUCACUUUUUGGAUCUCACCAUUGGACUGUCUCAAAAUAAAAAACACUCAAACAUUCUAAAUUUUUUAUUUUCCAUUGUUAAAAUUAUAAAUCUUGUUUGGAUCCAACCAUUGGAGGUGCUCUUAUAACACUUGCAGAAGACAAAAUGAGUUUACGUAA
Arabidopsis lyrata subsp. lyrata is the source of this 664-nucleotide long non-coding RNA. RefSeq lists it as uncharacterized. The transcript is spliced from 2 exons. NCBI's taxonomy places the organism in Eukaryota, Viridiplantae, Streptophyta, Magnoliopsida, Brassicales, Brassicaceae. The record is from RefSeq and is a predicted model, not a curated record.